This 253-nucleotide ribosomal RNA is filed under the name uncultured bacterium. RNAcentral's name for it is "partial 16S ribosomal RNA". It matches the Rfam family "Bacterial small subunit ribosomal RNA", at positions 524 to 776 of the family's 1533-position model. The record is from RNAcentral.
UACAGAGGGUGCGAGCGUUAAUCGGAAUUACUGGGCGUAAAGCGCGCGUAGGCGGCUUUUCAAGUCGAUUGUGAAAUCCCCGGGCUUAACCUGGGAACUGCAGUCGAGACUGUCUAGCUAGAGUAUGGGAGAGGGAAGUGGAAUUUCAGGUGUAGCGGUGAAAUGCGUAGAUAUCUGAAGGAACACCAGUGGCGAAGGCGGCUCACUGGUCCGGUACUGACGCUGAGGUGCGAAAGCGUGGGGAGCAAACAGG